GACGAACGCUGGCGGCGUGCCUAAUACAUGCAAGUUGAGCGCUGAAGGUUGGUACUUGUACCAACUGGAUGAGCAGCGAACGGGUGAGUAACGCGUGGGUAAUCUGCCUUUGAGCGGGGGACAACAUUUGGAAACGAAUGCUAAUACCGCAUAAAAACUUUAAACACAAGUUUUAAGUUUGAAAGAUGCAAUUGCAUCACCCAAUGAUGAUCCCGCGUUGUAUUAGCUAGUUGGUGAGGUAAAGGCUCACCAAGGCGAUGAUACAUAGCCGACCUGAGAGGGUGAUCGGCCACAUUGGGACUGAGACACGGCCCAAACUCCUACGGGAGGCAGCAGUAGGGAAUCUUCGGCAAUGGGCGAAAGUCUGACCGAGCAACGCCGCGUGAGUGAAGAAGGUUUUCGGAUCGUAAAACUCUGUUGGUAGAGAAGAACGUUGGUGAGAGUGGAAAGCUCAUCAAGUGACGGUAACUACCCAGAAAGGGACGGCUAACUACGUG
This 497-nucleotide ribosomal RNA is filed under the name uncultured bacterium. Its description in RNAcentral is "partial 16S ribosomal RNA". It matches the Rfam family "Bacterial small subunit ribosomal RNA", at positions 28 to 507 of the family's 1533-position model. The record is from RNAcentral.